This is a long non-coding RNA of Ornithodoros turicata, 773 nucleotides long. RefSeq lists it as uncharacterized. The transcript is spliced from 3 exons. NCBI's taxonomy places the organism in Eukaryota, Metazoa, Arthropoda, Arachnida, Ixodida, Argasidae. The record is from RefSeq and is a predicted model, not a curated record.
UUCCUCCUACAUUCCACCUUCGCCGACCGUAUAAAAAUGCGAACGUCUUUGCAUUUGUGUAGUCGUGUGCUCCGUUAUGCAUUUUGUUCCUGAGCCCGUGCACAAGCUCCAUUACGACAAAGGACCCCAGUGGCGACAAAGCAGGUGCCCCUAUGUGAAGGUCUCUCAACUGUCGCAAAGCUGGUUCAGGAGAUCACAUUCAUGCUCCUGUGGUUGCCUGUGCAACAGAAGACAGGCUGCGGGCGAGGCUGAAAGACUGGGCACGGAAGGAGCCUCACGUGCCUGUCCCUGACAUUUAUGAGCAGGAGCUCGUACCCCUGGACAGAGCACAUGUAUGUAGCAUUUCCACAGCAUCACAAAAAGUGACAUAGUAAAUUCAUGAGUCACACAUCUUUUGUGAUGCAAAAUGCCAGUACAACAAGAAUUGCAGAUGACAACAGAAACAAAGCUUGACGAUUAGAAAUACAGUAAGUACACACACACACACACACUACUAUACUGCAUACAACAUGGUGUAAACAAAAGCAUAAUAAUAAACAGACCGUACAUUCUUAUUACCUCAUGGCUGUUGUGGUGGUGGGCAGACCCCAUCCAAAUAUCUACUCGUGCCUGGAAGCGCUGCGCCAGAUCGAACCGGCACGUGUGGGGCACCUCCAAGCAGCAAAAGGUGCCAUUCAACGGCAACAGGCAUUCAGGUGGGGGAGACAACUAUGGACACAUUCCUCAGAAAAGUCCAGAGGUACUGCACGUCCUAGUUUCAUACAACAGCAACA